This 72-nucleotide transfer RNA is filed under the name Pangasianodon hypophthalmus (striped catfish). RNAcentral's name for it is "tRNA-Glu". It matches the Rfam family "tRNA". From Rfam's summary of the family: Transfer RNA (tRNA) molecules are approximately 80 nucleotides in length. Lineage: Eukaryota; Metazoa; Chordata; Actinopteri; Siluriformes; Pangasiidae. The record is from RNAcentral.
UCCCUGGAGGACUAGUGGUUAGGCCUCGGCGCUCUCACCACUGCAGCCUGGGUUUGAUUCCCAGCCAGGGAA